This 775-nucleotide ribosomal RNA is filed under the name uncultured Neocallimastigales. RNAcentral's name for it is "partial large subunit ribosomal RNA". It matches the Rfam family "Eukaryotic large subunit ribosomal RNA", at positions 23 to 636 of the family's 3401-position model. Lineage: Eukaryota; Fungi; Neocallimastigomycota; Neocallimastigomycetes; Neocallimastigales. The record is from RNAcentral.
AGAGAGAGACAUGCGCGCAUAUCAAUAAGCGGAGGAAAAGAAACUAACAAGGAUUCCCCUAGUAACGGCGAGUGAAGCGGGAAGAGCUCAAAUUUGAAAUCUUCAAGGUUUUACCUUGACGAAUUGUAGUUUAAAGAAGUGUUUUCUGUUGAAGUUUUGGUAAAAGUUCUUUGGAAUAGGACAUCAUAGAGGGUGAGGAUCCCGUAUUUGACCAUUAUCUCCAGCUGUGUGAUACACUUUCAAAGAGUCGGAUUGUUUGGGAAUGCAGUCCAAAAUGGGUGGUAAAUUUCAUCUAAAGCUAAAUAUUGGCGAGAGACCGAUAGCGAACAAGUACCGUGAGGGAAAGAUGAAAAGAACUUUGAAAAGAGAGUUAAACAGUACGUGAAAUUGUCAAAAGGGAAGCGUUUGACACCAGUGUUGUUUUCUCGAAAAUCAAUUAAAAAUGGACAUGGAUUUUGUGUUGUAUUGACUUUAUCAGCUUUCUGCACUUUUUUCUUGUCUUUUUUAAUGCACUUUUCGUUUAACAAGUCAACAUCAAUUUCUUUUGUUGUAAAAGGGUCAUUGGAAGGUGGCUUUCUUUUCGGAGAAAGUGUUUAUAGCCUUUGGCUUCUGCAAUCGGAGAGAUUGAGGUCUGCAGCGUAGAUCCUUCGGGGUUAGAUGCAUUUGUGCUAAGUUAUAGCCUUUCAUAGACAACUUGUUGACUAUGAUCAGUCAUGUAGCUUACUCGCUUAUGUCAUUUUACCUACGCUUAGGAUGUUGACAGCAGUAUAGACUG